UCAAGUUACUAAGAGUGUAUGGGGGAUGUCUUGGUGUCGAGAGGCGAUGAAGGACGUGGUAGGCUGCGAUAAGCCCGGGGCAGGAGCCGAACAUCCGCUAAUCCCGGGAUCUCCGAAUGGGGAAACCCGACGGAAACGGGCAACCGUUUUCCGCCAUCCUUGGCUGAAUGCAUAGGCCAUGAGAAGCGAACGCAGGGAACUGAAACAUCUUAGUACCUGCAGGAAAGGAAAUCAAUUGAGACUCCGUUAGUAGCGGCGAGCGAAAGCGGAAAAGCCCAAACCGAAAAGCUUGCUUUUUGGGGUUGUGGGCGUCGAUCAGGAGUUACAAAGACACGAUCAGCAAAACGGUCUGGAAAGUCCGGCCGCAGAAGGUGAUAGCCCUGUAUGCGAAAGAUCAGUGUCCUCCGUUACGGUCGACGUACCAGAGUAGCACGGAGCUCGUGGAACUCCGUGUGAAGCUGGGGGGUCCACCCUCCAAGGCUAAGUACUCCUCGACAACCGAUAGUGAAAAGUAGCGCGAGCGAACGAUGAAAAGAACCCCUACGAGGGGUGUGAAAAGGACCUGAAACCAUACACUUACAAGCUGUAGGAGCCCUAUGUCCGUCCUUCGGGACGGAAACGGGUGACUGCGUGCCUUUCGCAUAAUGAGCCGGCGAGUUGCUGUUUGUGGCCAGGUUAAGCACUUCAGGUGCGAAGCCGCAGCGAAAGCGAGUCUGAACAGGGCGUUGAGUCGCAAGCAGCAGACGCGAAACCAAGUGGUCAAUCCAUGGCCAGGUGGAAGGGGAUGUAAAAAUCCCUGGACGACCGAACCCGUUAACGUUGAAAAGUUAUGGGAUGAGCUGUGGAGAGGAGUAAAAGUCUAAUCAAACUUGGAGAUAGCUCGUUCUCUCCGAAAUAGCUUUAGGGCUAGCCUCGCGUGUUCCCUGUUGGGGGUAGAGCUACUGAUUGAGGAUAAGGGGCUACCCGCCUACUUACCUCUACCAAACUCCGAAUACCAACAGGCCAAACGUGGGAGUCAGUCUGCGGGGGAUAACCUUCGUGGUCGAGAGGGAAAGAACCCAGACCGCCAGCUAAGGUCCCGAAUUUCGUGCUUAGUUACUAAGGAAGUCUGAUUGCUGUGACAAUCAGGAUGUUGGCUUAGAAGCAGCCACCAUUUAAAAAGUGCGUAAUAGCUUACUGAUCGAGCAGUUGGGUGCCGAUAAUGACAGGGAAUAAGCCGAAAACCGAAGCUGCGGAUGUCCUUUGGACGUGGUAGGAGAGCGUAGCAGUCUGCGUCGAAGCGGUACGGAAACGAGCCGUGGAGCGGCUGCUAGUGAUUAUGCCGGCAUGAGUAACGAUAAAGCAGGUGAGAAUCCUGCUCGCCGAAAACCUAAGGUUUCCUGGGGAAGGUAAAUCCGCCCAGGGUUAGUCGGUCCCUUAGUCCAGGCCGAAAGGCGUAGACGAUGGGCAGCAGGUUAAUAUUCCUGCACCACGUUGCCGGACGAGGGAAGUGACGCAUCUUUUACGGUCAUCCCGCGACUAGUAGUGCGGGUUCCGCAAGGACGAGGCCAAUUUAGGAUGCCGAAGUGACCCGAACAGAUGCCGAGAAACAGCUUCCGCAGGUUGAUGGCAGCGUGACCGUACUAAAACUGACACAGGUAGGUGAGGAGAAUAUCCUAAGGCGCUCGAGAUAACUGUCCUUAAGGAACUAGGCAAUUUGACCCCGUAAGUUCGCGAUAAGGGGUCCCUCCAGGUGCUGCUAUUUCGAUAUCAGCAUGCUGAGGGCGCAGUGAAGUGGCUCUAGCGACUGUUUACCAAAAACACAGUUCUCUGCGAACACGUUAAAGUGGAUGUAUAGAGAAUGACGCCUGCUCGGUGCCGGAAGGUUAAGGGGAUGGGUUAGCUCCUUCGGGGGCGAAGCUCCGAACUGAAGCCCCGGUAAACGGCGGCCGUAACUAUGACGGUCCUAAGGUAGCGAAGUUCCUUGUCGGGUAAGUUCCGACGUGCAUGAACGGCGUAACGACUGGAGCACUGUCUCAAGGACAGACUCGGUGAAAUUGUAGACGUGGUGAAGAUACCACGUACCCGCGGCAAGACGGAAAGACCCCGUGAACCUUUA
RNAcentral lists this ribosomal RNA (2098 nucleotides) under activated sludge metagenome. Its description in RNAcentral is "bacterial LSU rRNA". It matches the Rfam family "Bacterial large subunit ribosomal RNA", at positions 3 to 2103 of the family's 2925-position model. The record is from RNAcentral.